CAGAAUAUACCGGUUCUCGUUAGAUCACCGAAGUCAAGCAUCAUUGGGCGCGGUCAGUACUUGGGUGGGUGACCACCUGGGAACACCGCGUGCCGUU
This is a non-coding RNA of Caerostris extrusa, 97 nucleotides long. Lineage: Eukaryota; Metazoa; Arthropoda; Arachnida; Araneae; Araneidae. The record is from the annotation of a GenBank genome assembly.